Molecule: ribosomal RNA, 729 nt
Filed under: Triticum aestivum (bread wheat)
Lineage: Eukaryota; Viridiplantae; Streptophyta; Magnoliopsida; Poales; Poaceae
Description: partial small subunit ribosomal RNA
Source: RNAcentral
AUGGCCAGCUACCCCUACAACCCCCUCCCUCACCUCCCUCCGGGCACCACCAACAUCCCCGCUGGUCCUCUCCGAGCUCGUCGUGGAUAUGUCGUUCUAGGAGGAGAACUUCCCAUGCUAUGCGACGAGUGGGCUAUCGCCACUUUGGUCCCAGAAGUUUCUGCUGAGGAGUUCCAUGGCGCCAUUGCUCUUAUCAUCAACUAUCUUGAAGGUCGCGGUUGGCGCAUCAACUACACGUCCCGUUGCGGUAUGGGCAUGGCUCUCAUUCGAUUUACCACUGCAUGUUCUAGGGAUACAGCUGUCAGUCUUAGCCCGUUUCAGAUCAGAGACUCUGUUCUGAGGGUUACUAGGCAGGACAAAGGUUUGAACUAUCGUAGCAUUGCUUUCACCCAUGAUGUUUGGAUCUUGAUGAUGAACUACCCCGAAUGUUCGGAUGUUGGGAUUGUCAGUCGAACUAUGUCUCUUUAUUGUAAAUUUCUCAUCUGGAACAAGGAUGCUAGAGACAAAACAAGAAUUAUAGUGACACUCAACGUAUUUAAUGUUGACACUAUUCCUAUUAGCAUUGUUGUGCUUCGCAAUCUGGAUGAUGUUGGCUAUGGGGAUUCAUGGACUUGCCCUACUUACAUUCUUUCUAGGGAAUUGAUUGGGCAGCAGGGUGGUGAUGAGGACCCUCUCCCACCUGAUGGUGGCAAUCCACACCCAUUACCUCAUGUUCAUGGAGGGUUUUGG